RNAcentral lists this long non-coding RNA (1128 nucleotides) under Chloebia gouldiae (Gouldian finch). RNAcentral describes it as "Erythrura gouldiae (Gouldian finch) lncRNA (ENSEGOG00005010718.1)". The record is from RNAcentral. Lineage: Eukaryota; Metazoa; Chordata; Aves; Passeriformes; Passeridae.
UUUUUUUUUUUUUUUUUUUUUUUUUUGUAUUUCCCCCAUUUUUUCUCAUUUUUCUACCUUUUUUUCUGUAUUUCCUCCCAAUUUUCCCAUCUCUCCCAUUUGUUUUUCCAGGUUUUCCCAUUUUCCCGGGAUUUGCCCCAAUUUCCUGGGGAUUUCUUUGGAAUUCCAAACCCUCAAUUCCCCCUUUUUUCGUUUUGUAUUUCCCCCCCAUUUUUUUUUACUUUCCCCCAGUCUUUUGUAUUUUCCUCACUUUUUUGCCCCCAUUUCUCCUAUUUUUUGGGGGAUUUUCCCAUUUAUUUCCCCCAAUUUCCCAGGGGUUUCUCUGGAAUUCCAAACUCUCAAUCCUCACUGUUAUUCCCCCAUUCUUCCCCUAUUUUUUUUAUUAUUUCCACCAUUUCUCCAAUUUUUUUCCCAGAUUUUCCCAUUUUCCAGGGUUUUCCUUCAAAUUCUCCACGACUGCCAAAUCCUCAACUCCCCCCCCCUUUUUUUCCCCCCCCUUUUUUUUUUUUUUUUUACAUUUCCCCCCCUUUAUUUUUUUUUAUUUUCCCAAUUUGUUCUCAUUUCUCCCUUUUUUUUUUUGUUUUGUUUUGUGCUUUCCCCAUUUUCCCUUAUUUCUCCCGUUUUUGGGGAUUUUCCGUUAUUUCUCCCGUUUUUGGGGAUUUUCCCGUUUUCAUUUUUUGGGACUCUCCCGUUUCCCGGGAUUUCCCGCUGCAGGGUGGACGUGGCUCACCUGCUGCUCUACCACCUCAGCGUCUGCUGCAAGAAGAAAUAUUUCGACCUGGAGCGGGAAAUUCUCCCCUUCGCCAACUCCAACUGGGAGGCGCUGCUGCUCGGCCCGGUGCGGGGAAAACCUGAUCUUGGGGAAAAACCUCAUUUGGGGGGAAAAAAAUCAGAUUUUGGGGGGGAAAAUCAGAUUUUUUUUGGGGGAAAAAAUCAGAUUUUGGGGGAAAAAAAUUUGAUUUUUGGUGAAAAAAUCUGAUUUGGAGGGGGAAAAAAGUCUGAUUUUUGGGGAAAAAAAAACCGGAUUUGGGGGGCAAAAAUCCGAUUUUUUGGGAGGAAUUGACUUUGGAGGGAAAACACUAAUUUGGGGGUAAAAAUUGAUUUUGGGAGGGGAAAACACCAAUUUUG